Molecule: long non-coding RNA, 231 nt
Filed under: Panax ginseng (ginseng)
Lineage: Eukaryota; Viridiplantae; Streptophyta; Magnoliopsida; Apiales; Araliaceae
Description: long non-coding RNA (PGIN_LNC001714)
Source: RNAcentral
UAAUUUUCAGAAUUAGCUCAUCUACUAAAAGAAAAUAGGAUUCUGUGACUGAUUUAUUCGUAUGUAUACAAAGAGGAGUAUUAAUUUGAUGACCAUUAGUGAUAGAAUUUGGUGAAAUCUGAUAGCGAGUAUUGGGGCUGGAUGGCCUUGGUGCAACAGGCUCACAAAUUAUAUUAGAGGCAGUGAAGGUAUAGAGAUAUAGAGAACUUGAAUGUAUAAAAAAUUGGGAGG